This 1186-nucleotide unclassified non-coding RNA is filed under the name Hevea brasiliensis (rubber tree). The record is from RNAcentral. Lineage: Eukaryota; Viridiplantae; Streptophyta; Magnoliopsida; Malpighiales; Euphorbiaceae.
GAAAUAUAUCACAUAAAUACACCAACUGUAACUACAACCCUAAUAAUAUUUCAAAGCAACCAAAUUCCAAAACAACAUGUACGCACCUGGCAGCCACAAUGUUACAUGAAAUUCAUAAGAACGUUUCCCUUUUCUCCUUUUAAUUUAUAAAACUACAAACCCACCAUUCACCCAUAAAAAAACAAACCCAUAAAGAAAUGAACAAAAGGAACUCUAUUUAUAGGUAUAGUUUGAUGCCUGCUGAUUUGAAAUUCCCUAGUAGCUCUUAAAAGAAAUUUAUCAAAGGAAUAAAAAGCCUAACAAGGUAAAAGUACAAGAUUUUUUAAAUAAAAAUUAUAUAAUAUAUUUGGAAGUAAAGAAAUGAAAUGGAAACUGUCAUGUACUUAUCAAAUAAGAAAAGGGAACCAUAACAUCAUUUCCAUAAGCAUGCACAGUCAAUGGUCAGGUUGCUAAAUGAUAAGGUCGGUUAGGUGCAUAUCGCGCAAGUUUUAACACACAUGUACAUUCCUUACAUGCAGGAUAAGUAGUGCAAAUGACCAUAAGAUCAUUAUAAAAAGUAGCACCUGAUGUGCUCUAGACAAGUAGCAUAAGAGAGGCACUAUUCCUUGAUAUUCGGCAUCCGCCACAAUAACUAAAAUUAAAUCAAAGUGGAUUGCGACAGAUAUUUACUCAAACUAGAAGACUACCAAAAAAGCAAAGGAUAUGCUUACAAAUGAAAAACAAAGCUGCUAGAUAACAAUGAACAAAUGUACACACAAAGUAUAGUUAAUAAACCCCUCCUAUUUAUUAAAUCACCUUUGGAACAAAUGUACACAUGGAAACACGGCCACGAACAAAGAAUAGUAAAUAAACAAAUAUAUUGGUCAGUUACUACAAGAUCAUUUAUAGCUGGAUAAUUAUCACAACUGCCAAGUUGCCAAUUACCGAACAGUAGUUGCUAAUUGAGCAAUCCAAAAAAACAGGGAAAAAAAAAAUCUCCAUGUUCUACAUGGUACGGAUACUGUAAACUUAAAAAAUAAAUAAAAAUAAAAUAAAUUAGAUAAGCACCAUUUAAGGUUUAAGUGCUCUACUUUCCUCCAUUUUCAAUGAAUUAGAGGAAAGGCCAUAAGCUGCAUGAUGAAAAUUUCAAUUUCGUUCAUUCUACUUUCCCUCCAUUUCUCAGCAACCACACACACACACACACACA